Molecule: non-coding RNA, 226 nt
Organism: Pelobates cultripes (western spadefoot toad)
Lineage: Eukaryota; Metazoa; Chordata; Amphibia; Anura; Pelobatidae
Source: the annotation of a GenBank genome assembly
CUUAGGUGCGGGAGUUUUCCGGCCGGUUAGGACAGGUUGAACGAGAAUGUCCCUUUCGGCCACAAUAUAGGCAUAGUCCCUCCCUACGACGGUAUUGUCUUUCAUUCUCAGACAAACGCGUAACUCCCAGUUGCAUAGGUUCUGGAGGAGCGACUGCUGUUGUCUCGGAUGAAGGAUAAGUUAAUGCUAGGCGUUCUGGCACCCGUCGAGGUCUGUCUCUAGUAUU